AGCAGCAUGGCGCAGUGGUAGCGCGCGGGGCCCAUAUUAUAGUUUAUGAUUGUCCACCCCGAGGUCACUUGAUCGAAACAAGUUGCUGCUA
Non-coding RNA from Marasmius tenuissimus, 91 nucleotides. The record is from the annotation of a GenBank genome assembly. Lineage: Eukaryota; Fungi; Basidiomycota; Agaricomycetes; Agaricales; Marasmiaceae.